ACAGAUAACGGUAAAAUUAACUGUUAUCAUAAUGCACCAACUAAAAUUCUAAUAGUUAGUUCUUCCAUUACACUGUUAAUACUACUAGCUAAAGCAUCUUUCACUUAAUUUAGAUCCUGUGAAAAUGGUUUAGCAACCUGCAAACGUCUAUCCUACCCUGCGCACAAUAUUCCAGCCUUCUCUAAUCAUCAACUACCCACAACAACCACCCACCCCUAUCAAACACAUAACAACACAUGUCUACCCUAAAACUCAACAACG
RNAcentral lists this long non-coding RNA (261 nucleotides) under Vigna radiata. RNAcentral's name for it is "long non-coding RNA (VRAD_LNC000122)". The record is from RNAcentral. Lineage: Eukaryota; Viridiplantae; Streptophyta; Magnoliopsida; Fabales; Fabaceae.